AACGAACGCUGGCGGCAUGCCUAACACAUGCAAGUCGAACGAGACCUUCGGUCUAGUGGCGCACGGGUGCGUAACGCGUGGGAAUCUGCCCUUGGGUUCGGAAUAACAGUUAGAAAUGACUGCUAAUACCGGAUAAUGUCUUCGGACCAAAGAUUUAUCGCCCAGGGAUGAGCCCGCGUAGGAUUAGCUAGUUGGUGAGGUAAAGGCUCACCAAGGCGACGAUCCUUAGCUGGUCUGAGAGGAUGAUCAGCCACACUGGGACUGAGACACGGCCCAGACUCCUACGGGAGGCAGCAGUGGGGAAUAUUGGACAAU
Molecule: ribosomal RNA, 315 nt
Filed under: uncultured bacterium
Lineage: Bacteria
Description: bacterial SSU rRNA
Rfam family: Bacterial small subunit ribosomal RNA
Source: RNAcentral